RNAcentral lists this ribosomal RNA (405 nucleotides) under Bacillota bacterium. Its description in RNAcentral is "Firmicutes bacterium partial 16S ribosomal RNA". It matches the Rfam family "Bacterial small subunit ribosomal RNA", at positions 355 to 776 of the family's 1533-position model. The record is from RNAcentral. Lineage: Bacteria; Bacillati; Bacillota.
UGGGGAAUAUUGCGCAAUGGGGGAAACCCUGACGCAGCGACGCCGCGUGAAGGAAGAAGGCCUUCGGGUUGUAAACUUCUUUGAUCGGGGACGAAGGAAGACGGUACCCGAGGAACAAGCCACGGCUAACUACGUGCCAGCAGCCGCGGUAAUACGUAGGUGGCGAGCGUUGUCCGGAAUUACUGGGCGUAAAGGGCGUGUAGGCGGGGGGACAAGUCAGAUGUGAAAUACCGGGGCUUAACCUCGGGGGUGCAUCUGAAACUGGUGCUCUUGAGUGCCGGAGAGGAAAGCGGAAUUCCCAGUGUAGCGGUGAAAUGCGUAGAUAUUGGGAGGAACACCAGUGGCGAAGGCGGCUUUCUGGACGGUAACUGACGCUGAGGCGCGAAAGCGUGGGGAGCAAACAGG